This 295-nucleotide ribosomal RNA is filed under the name Dyscia penulataria. RNAcentral's name for it is "partial 12S ribosomal RNA". The record is from RNAcentral. Lineage: Eukaryota; Metazoa; Arthropoda; Insecta; Lepidoptera; Geometridae.
CUUAAAUAUUUUGGCGGUAUUUUAGUUUAUUUAGAGGAAUCUGUUUAUUAAUUGAUAAUCCACGAAUAAAUUUACUUAAUUUAUUAUUUUGUAUAUCAUUGUUAAAUAAAUAUUUUUUAAUAAUUAAUAAUAUUUUAAAAUUAAAAUUAAAAAUUAAAUCAAAUCAAGAUGCAGAUUAUAAUUAAGAAUAUAAUGGAUUACAAUAAUUUUAUUUAAAUGAAUUUUAAUUUGUAAUAAUUAAAUGAAGGUGGAUUUAAAUGUAAUUUUAUUUAUUUUAAUAAUUUGAUUAAAAAUU